RNAcentral lists this ribosomal RNA (426 nucleotides) under uncultured bacterium. Its description in RNAcentral is "bacterial SSU rRNA". It matches the Rfam family "Bacterial small subunit ribosomal RNA", at positions 355 to 796 of the family's 1533-position model. The record is from RNAcentral.
UCGAGAAUCUUCCACAAUGGACGAAAGUCUGAUGGAGCGACACCGCGUGACUGAUGAAGUCUUUCGGGAUGUAAAGGUCUUUUAUGAGGGAUGACAUAGCGACAGUACCUCAUGAAUAAGGGGCUGCUAAUCACGUGCCAGCAGCAGCGGUAAUACGUGAGCCCCAAGCGUUAUCCGGAAUUAUUGGGCGUAAAGAGUGCGUAGGUGGUCGUGUUAGUCCUUUGUUUAAUCCAUCGGCUCAACCGGUGAACUGCAGAGGAAACGGCACGACUGGAGUGUGUGAGAGGUGAGCGGAACUCAUGGUGUAGGGGUGAAAUCCGUUGAUAUCAUGGGGAACACCAAAUGCGAAGGCAGCUCACUGGCACAUCACUGACACUGAGGCACGAAAGCGUGGGUAGCGAAUGGGAUUAGAUACCCCCGUAGUCC